Molecule: non-coding RNA, 3091 nt
Organism: Chiloscyllium plagiosum (whitespotted bambooshark)
Lineage: Eukaryota; Metazoa; Chordata; Chondrichthyes; Orectolobiformes; Hemiscylliidae
Source: RefSeq, a predicted model, not a curated record
GUGACAAGCAUUCCACCUCGGAAGCAGGCAGAGAAAUGCAAGCCGCAUUUAGCUCACAGAGCUGGGCAGCUUAACUGAGUUCCACUUCAAAAUGUAUCUCUUGCUGGAUCACUGUACAGUCAUUGGAAAUGAUUAAUUGAUAAUGAAGUGUUUGAUGUUCAUGCUUUUAUUUGGAAGAGACAGUGCCACAAACUGCUACUUGCAGUGAAAGUGAAUGGCAUUAAAGCUGAGGAGUGCACUACACCUGAAUCCUUUAGGCAUUUGUGGGGUGCUGAAGGACCAAUUGCUUCAUACCUAAUUGCUCACUUCAAGAUAAUGAUUUGGUUCCCUUUUGAAAGUCAAAAUUGACUCAACCUCCAACACACUGCCAGAAUAUAUCCUUGAAAGACUCAAUGAGGAGGAUGCACCAUCAUGGACGGAUAACUAAGGAAGUUGAUGAUAUAAGAAAGAAGGUGUACAAUGCUGCAAAGAUACAUCUGUCCAUCCAUGAGAGUACUGAUAGGAGUGACCACCGCACAAUCCUUGUGGAGACGCCUUCGUACAUUGACCAUCAGGUUUAUCCCGUCUGUUGCUUGUCUUCUUCUGUGGAAUGAUUAAAGCUGAGGCUGUGAAUCCUGACUGCUGCCUACAUUUGGUUAUCUGCAUGAUCCGUAACAACACUCCUGUCACUGCUUAUUUGCCUUGCAAAGCAAAGGAGAGGUGUCAAAGAUAUACACUAGACUGCUGAGAGGCUUUAGCUCCUGAGAUUAUCUUUUACUGAUUUAGGGAUAAUUUAGCAGCAUCCAAGUCUCGAGAGACCAAUGAAAAUUUAGUUGGAGCCACAGCAGAAUCUGUGGCCCUUAAUAAUACUUCUGAGCAUCUGUUUUGCUGCAAAAUGAUUUUAACACCACAGCUGGAUUUAUCGCAUGAUACCUGUCCAAGGAAUUAUUCUAAUAAUACGCUCCUGCAGUUCUGCAGUGAUAGUCUGAGAUGCGCAUGCAUACCAAAAAAACAUUAUUAACAUGUUAAAUCAUUUGAAAACUAAUGGUUGAAAUUUGUUAAUAAGGGCUUAUAAUGUAUUAAUUUUCACACACACCAGGUGAUAUUAGAGUCAAUGGGGGAUGAAGGAAAUGAUUUAACACUCUUGAUGUCAUGGUAGGAACAGCUGACUGAUUUCUGACGUCUGACUUUUACCUGCUUCACUGUGACAGUGAAUUCUGAAGCUCACCUUUUUCUGGGUGAAGAAAUUUCUCCUCCUCUCAGUCCUAAAAGGUUCAACCCUUAUCCUUAAAAUAUGACCUCUGAUUCUGGACUCCCGACCAUUGGGAACUACAUCGAAGUUGUCCAGUCCUGUUAGAAUUUUGUGGGUUUCUAUGAGAUACCCCACCCCUCCCGCCUCAUUCUUCUAAACUCUAGUAAUACAAUCCUACGUAACCCAAUCUCUCCUCAUAUGUCACUUCUGCUAUCCAACGAAUUUUGGUAAAACCUUCGCUGCACUCCCUGUACAGCAAGAACAUGCUUUCUCAGAUAAGGAGACUAAAAUUGCAUACAGUAUUCCAAGUGUGGCCUCACCAUGGCCCUGUAUAAUUGCUGCAAGUCACCCUUGUUCCUGUACUCAAAUCUUCUCGCCAUGAAGGCCAACAUACCCUUUCAAAUAAUACUCUGUGAUCUAACAUCCGGAUCAAUCGUAUAACAGAUGUUAAAUUAUCCGAAGAAAUGCUAUUUUCUUUUGCCUUCUGACUUGCCUAAAACUAUUUCUAUGCAGUUGAUAUUGCUUGAGUGGCCCUGAGAAAAGUUAGUUCUGCUGUCUCUCCAUUUGGCUGCAGCAGAGAUAGAACAGAGGCAGAUGUGACUGGGCUGGGCUUGUGAUGUUAGGGUCCAGGCUAAUGCUCUGAGAACUGAGAUUCAACUCUUACCAUGGCAGCUCACUUAAAUUCAAUUAUUACAUCUAGAGUUGAAAGCUAGCCUCCGUAAUCAUCAUCAUAAAGCUAUUAUUGAUUGCCGAAAUCCUAUCUAGUUCACUGAUGUGCUUUAGGAAAGGAAAUCUUUUGUUCUGUGACAUCAAACUUGUUUACCUUGAAACGGCCCAGGAAACCAUACAGUUCGAGGGUAAUUAGGGAUGAAGAACAAAUGCCAGUCUUGUCAAUGACACACACAUAUUCCAUAAAAGAAUAGUGUUAAAAAAAGGGGUUCAAUAGUAUAAUUGAUUGCUACUGUGCCAAAAGUCAAACAGGAUAAUCAUUUUUCACGACUUUGAUGCAAACAUUGAUCUAGGUAACAGAUGUGGGAAAGAACCACCAAAAAUAAGUGGGAUAUACUGCUAUUAAACAAUGAUCUCCUCUUGCUGAUGUUGGAGCUGAGCAUGGUCCCUUAAUCACCAAUAGUUUCCAUCUCCCUGACCACAGAAUGUAUGCAGAGGCCAUUUGUUGUUUUAACAGCAAAUGGACAAUGUUUUAAUUGGACAGGUGGGGAAGGCAAGUUUUCGCAAAACCAUGUGUGACACUCACUGAUGGACUGACCAUCUUCGUAGUUUCAAAACUUCAUUCAAUAUUCAUGCCCUAGACACCUUAGAACAUGAAAAUCUAAACUCUUUUGAUGUUUCAAGGCUCAAACAGUGGUCAUGAGGGAAACCAUCUCAGAGAAACUCCAAAAUUUCAGUUUGUGAAGUGAAAAUGGGUGUUGCAUUGAGAAUGACUGAAUGAUCUUCUGAGAUAUAAUAUUUUACACUGCUGUGGAUUCCCUUACCCCUACCUCUGGUCAGAAUCAAGAUUGGUUUAAUAAAAACAAUGAGGUAAUCCAGAAAUGACUGGAGAAGAAACAUUGCCACUACAGGGCUUAAAUAAUGACAAAAAUUAUGACAUUAUGACAAAAAAUGUAUUAACAGGACUGACCAAUGCAAGCUCAGAGAGAUUAGUUUAGAUUGCCUACAGUGUGGAAACAGGCACUUUGACCCAGCAAGUCCAUGCCAAUCCUCCGAAGAAUAACCCACCUAGACCCAUUCCCCUAUCCUACACUUAUCCCUGAUGAAUGCACACAAUAUGGGCGAUUUAGCAUGGUCAGUUCACCUGGCCUGCACAUCCUUGGACUGUGGGAGGAAGCCAGAGCGCCCAGA